Molecule: ribosomal RNA, 408 nt
Filed under: uncultured beta proteobacterium
Lineage: Bacteria; Pseudomonadati; Pseudomonadota; Betaproteobacteria
Description: bacterial SSU rRNA
Rfam family: Bacterial small subunit ribosomal RNA
Source: RNAcentral
GAGUUUGAUCCUGGCUCAGAUUGAACGCUGGCGGCAUGCUUUACACAUGCAAGUCGAACGGCAGCGCGGGCUUCGGCCUGGCGGCGAGUGGCGAACGGGUGAGUAAUAUAUCGGAACGUACCCAAGAGUGGGGGAUAACGUAGCGAAAGUUACGCUAAUACCGCAUACGAUCUAAGGAUGAAAGCAGGGGAUCGCAAGACCUUGUGCUCCUGGAGCGGCCGAUAUCUGAUUAGCUAGUUGGUGAGGUAAAGGCUCACCAAGGCAACGAUCAGUAGCUGGUCUGAGAGGACGACCAGCCACACUGGAACUGAGACACGGUCCAGACUCCUACGGGAGGCAGCAGUGGGGAAUUUUGGACAAUGGGGGCAACCCUGAUCCAGCAAUGCCGCGUGAGUGAAGAAGGCCUUC